RNAcentral lists this unclassified non-coding RNA (430 nucleotides) under soil metagenome. RNAcentral describes it as "partial contains 5.8S ribosomal RNA, internal transcribed spacer 2, and large subunit ribosomal RNA". The stretch from base 1 to 120 matches the Rfam family "5.8S ribosomal RNA", at positions 35 to 154 of the family's 154-position model. The record is from RNAcentral.
GAUGAAGAACGUAGCGAAAUGCGAUACGUAAUGUGAAUUGCAGAAUUCAGUGAAUCAUCGAAUCUUUGAACGCAUAUUGCGCUCUCUGGUAUUCCGGAGAGCAUGCUUGUUUGAGUAUCAGUAAACACCUCAACUCCCUUUUCUUUUUUGAAAUUGGAGCUGGACUUGAGUGAUCCCAACGCUUUCUUCCAAGAAAGUGGCGGGUUGCUUGAAAUGCAGGUGCAGCUGAACUUUUCUCUGAGCUAUAAGCAUAUCUAUUUAGUCUGCCUAAAAAACAGAUUAUUACCUGUGCUGCAGCUAACAUAAAGGAGACUAGUUCUUGUGCUGACUGAUGCAGGAUUCACAGAGACAGCUUCGGCUGACUUUGUAAACUCGAUCUCAAAUCAAGUAAGACUACCCGCUGAACUUAAGCAUAUCAAUAAGCGGAGGA